This 105-nucleotide non-coding RNA is filed under the name human gut metagenome. RNAcentral describes it as "SAM riboswitch (S box leader)". It matches the Rfam family "SAM riboswitch aptamer (S box leader)". From Rfam's summary of the family: The SAM riboswitch is found upstream of a number of genes which code for proteins involved in methionine or cysteine biosynthesis in Gram-positive bacteria. The SAM riboswitch acts at the level of transcription termination control. The record is from RNAcentral.
GUUAUCAAGAGUGGACGAGAGAAUUGGCUUUAUGACUCCACAGCAACCUAUUUUAACAAAUAAGGUGCUAAUACCGACAGAGCAAAAAAUGGCUUUGAAUGAUGA